CUCAUUGUGCACUGGAGAAGCCUGGCACUCAGGUGUGUCUACUAUGUGAACGCUGCUCAUCCACAUUGCAGCCGCCGCCUCCUUGCCGCCCCGGAACCUGUGCUCCUGCCUGUCAGUCCACCUGGCUCAGUGGUUCUUAACAGUUCAACAGUUCUCUAUCGAAAUUGUGAAAUGUUUAGGACCACUUGACCAGGCGGGCGCUCUCUUCUCGCUGUGGACACAAUGGAGGCCCCAGCAUCAGGAGUAACAGCCGAAGAACUUCUCCACUUCUGCGAGAGGGAAGACUUGUUAAGACGUGUUAACCUAUAACUUGCCAGUUUCUUGGAAAUGCACACGAAGCAGAAUGGUAUAUUUUAACUGGUUUCACAUGGUCACAGUAGGGCUGUAUUUUGGCUGCAAAACCCCAUACAAUCCCUUACUGAAACUGGACUAGGGUUGUGUGGUGGAACUAUAUAAUUGGGUUCAGCAGACCCUUUGGGGGGGGGGGGUUGCAACCUUAAUACUGGUGCUAAUGAGGACUGGACCCGUGGAACUGAGCUUCCCAGGUACAUGGAAGGGUUGUAUGACAUUGGGAAAAAAACAGCGCCACUCUUGUCUUCAGGUUCUGUUUAGUAUUGCAGGUCAGCCUGUUUUCAGCUACUCUCAUAAACCCCUUUAAUACUGUAGAUACUUAGAGACUUAUUUUACCAUAUUGCACUGAUAGUUAAAGGGUUGUCCAGUAUUAAGAAAACAUGUCUGCUUUCUUCCAAAAACAGCGCUACCCCUGUCCACAGGUUAUGUAUUGUAUUGCACCUAUGUCAAAUUGAAGUUGUAAUACCACAUACACCGUGUGAACAGGUGUAGCACUGUUGCUGGAAGGCAGCCAUGUUUUUCUAAUUCUGCACAAACGCUUUAAGGAUGCUUAGGGGGAUGGCGAGAUCUAAUACAGAGUACGUCUUCUACAUGAUAAGAUUAGACCAAUGGGGGCGCGUGUGUCUUUGUUAUUUUACACAUUAUAGGUUUUGUUUUAAUAUUACAUGCUGUUUCAGAGCAGAUCCACUUACAAGGCAAUUUUGGAUUUGACAUUUGCUACAAAGAGACCCGUACCGCAGCUCUCACUACACCGCGUCCAGCAAUCCCAGCAAGCACGUGGAUUUCUGCUCUCCAUAAGGAGAUAUUGUAUUUCCCAAAUGCAAGCCCCAUUCACAGGAAUGGGAAAAGUUGCACCCUAAAGUGAAAUCAGAUUAAGUACAGAUGUAGCAGAGCUGACUUUGUCAUUUAGCUUUCUUCUGUAAACUGUUAUAACUCACCAAGUUUAAGACGGCAGAUACAAACUGUAAUGCAACUGAUGAGCUGUGCCACAAGACAAACUCAUCUUCGAUACAUCUGUAUAUCAUAUAUUAAUAAAAUCGGAUUUACUGUUAAUGCCUAGAUACACAUCUCUGGAAGGUCAGUUUAUAUCAAAAUUUUGUUAAUUGCAUUAUUGAAUAAUGAGAAUCAAUUAGAUGAUGUAAAUGUGUAAUUCCAGUUGUGUAGCAGUGUCUGCUCACUACCAGUGUGAGCCAUUGCACUCACAUCCCAGUAAUGCAUCACUAUUAGUGUCCAUGUCAGGCUUCCCAGUAACCUCAUGUUUUUUCAUAAAUUAUUUUCUUAAAGGGACCCUUUUUACAUUACAAAAACUUUUUUCUUCCAGAUACAGCACAACUAUAGGCAGUGUGUGGUAUUGCAGCUCACUUCAGACAAGUCAAUUUUGCUAUCCCAAACUCAGCCAAUGAACAGAUGUGCCCCUAUGUCUGUAAGAAAGCAGCCAUGGUUUUCGAACUUCAUAUAACCCCUUCAGUACAUAAUUAGUUGAUUGACAGAAUAAUACUAUAUAAUGCCAAAAUAGUAACCAAAAAAAUAUACAGCUAGUGUAGUACCACUUAUUGCCAGCAGAAGGUGUCAUUCCUCUGUCUUAUUACUCUGUGAGAGCUCUCCAUCUGCUGGUAAUAAGUGGUACUGCGCCAGCUAUGAGUUAGUUAUUUAUGAUGUGGUAUUCUCCUCUUUAUGACUGUGUUGCAUUAACUAUUCACAUCAAUAACGCAAUAAGUUUACUUACAUUCCUGUGUUGGGAUGACUUGUGCCAAAUGACAAACUCAGCAGAUCGGCAUCCUGUAGAAUAUUCCUAUACAGGUCUAUCUAUUCUGCUUUUCUUCACAGCUUCAAACCUAAGAAUAUUGAAAAAUACGUUAUCUAUAUUUAAGUAAGAUAAGAGCGUACAGUGAUAAAUUGAAAUCCGUUUUAGAAGAGGUGACAGUUUCUUCACAUGAGCGCCCAGUGUUACCUCUAGUGCUUGCAUUUCCAAGAACUCUUGGCCAUAUUAUGCUCUGUCAAUGCACGUAUUUCUACGCCACUGCAAUGUUUUGUCCUCUUUUCUAAAAUAAAAUUUCAUGUAAAUUUUCUAUUGGA
Molecule: long non-coding RNA, 2427 nt
Organism: Bufo gargarizans (Asiatic toad)
Lineage: Eukaryota; Metazoa; Chordata; Amphibia; Anura; Bufonidae
Exons: 2
Source: RefSeq, a predicted model, not a curated record